Molecule: ribosomal RNA, 254 nt
Filed under: uncultured bacterium
Lineage: Bacteria
Description: partial 16S ribosomal RNA
Rfam family: Bacterial small subunit ribosomal RNA
Source: RNAcentral
UACGUAGGGCGCAAGCGUUGUCCGGAAUUAUUGGGCGUAAAGCGCGUGUAGGCGGCGUGACAAGUCGGGUGUGAAAGCCCUCAGCUCAACUGAGGAAGUGCGCCCGAAACUGUCGUGCUUGAGUGCCGGAGAGGGUGGCGGAAUUCCCCAAGUAGAGGUGAAAAUUCGUAGAUAUGGGGAGGAACACCGGUGGCGAAGGCGGCCACCUGGACGGUAACUGACGCUGAGACGCGAAAGCGUGGGGAGCAAACAGG